UUGAAAGGGAAACGAUUGAAGUCAGUCGUACCGGCGGGUAAUCAGCCUUUUGGGUGUGAUUAUGUGGAGUGUGAGGAGCUAAUCGCCUUCAUCUUUGCAUAUUCGUGCACUUUGGGUGUACUUGCUCGUGUGGUAGGUUAACAUCAAUUUUGAUCAUCAUAAAAUGAUUGAAGGAAUGUAGCUUCGAUCUCGUAUUGAAGUGUUAUAGCCUUUGGUAGAUGUGAUGAUCGGGAUUGAGGAUUGCAACGGAUACCCUUCGGGGCUACCCGUCUGAUCUCUGAAAGUUGCUCUGGUGCUGAAAGCUUGCUUAUGGUAUCAAAGUUGACGUUUAAUAGGUUAGAACGGGAUAAAUUCGUUAAGGAUGUUGACGUA
This 372-nucleotide ribosomal RNA is filed under the name uncultured Glomeromycotina. RNAcentral's name for it is "LSU rRNA". The record is from RNAcentral. Lineage: Eukaryota; Fungi; Glomeromycota.